UCUGCCUUGGAUGGGAUACGGCUGGAACAGCUGCUAAUACCGCAUAAUGCAGUUGAGUCGCAUGGCUCUGACUGCCAAAGAUUUAUCGCUCUGAGAUGGACUCGCGUCUGAUUAGCUAGUUGGUGGGGCAACGGCCCACCAAGGCGACGAUCAGUAGCCGGACUGAGAGGUUGGCCGGCCACAUUGGGACUGAGACACGGCCCAGACUCCUACGGAAGGCAGCAG
This 225-nucleotide ribosomal RNA is filed under the name uncultured bacterium. RNAcentral describes it as "partial 16S ribosomal RNA". It matches the Rfam family "Bacterial small subunit ribosomal RNA", at positions 125 to 354 of the family's 1533-position model. The record is from RNAcentral.